Hipposideros armiger (great roundleaf bat) is the source of this 449-nucleotide long non-coding RNA. RefSeq lists it as uncharacterized. The record is from RefSeq and is a predicted model, not a curated record. The transcript has 2 exons. Lineage: Eukaryota; Metazoa; Chordata; Mammalia; Chiroptera; Hipposideridae.
AUGCCAUGCAUCCUUAAUCAUUCAACUGAGCUACACGGUCAGAAGGAACGCAACCAAGAUAUUCACAAGUAUCUCUGUGGGAAAAAUGAGCUGGAGCGAUGAUACUGGACUCUUUGACCCGGAACUCAUACACCUGGCAAGAGGCAGGCACAGAGCCGUGAGGACCAUUGAGCUUAGCAGACUAGUCUGCCACUGACUCACGCCAGAAACCUGUCUCUUGUGACGCUGCUAUGGUGCUGGGGACACAGGUGAGAGAAAUCAGACACUAUCCGGACCCUCUUACAGGGAGAGUGGCUGUGACUACAUUCUGAUCAAGGGGCUCAAGGCUAAACCUAAAUUUUUACUGGCUUUUCAGGGGAGCAUUUGAGAUCUUGCUACCCAACCUACAUUGUCAGUUCAAACACUUAUAAAAACUCAAACAAUAAAUAAAUUGUUACUGGCUUUUUAAA